Molecule: ribosomal RNA, 317 nt
Filed under: uncultured bacterium
Lineage: Bacteria
Description: bacterial SSU rRNA
Rfam family: Bacterial small subunit ribosomal RNA
Source: RNAcentral
GAUGAACGCUGGCGGCGUGCCUAACACAUGCAAGUCGAACGAGACUGAUUAGAAUGAGAUUUCGGUUGAUUUCUAUGAAAGUCGAGUGGCGGACGGGUGAGUAACACGUGGGUAACCUGCCUUACAGAGGGGGAUAACAGUUUGAAAGACUGCUAAUACCGCAUAAGCACACAGUACCGCAUGGUACGGGGUGAAAAGAUUUAUCGCUGUAAGAUGGACCCGCGUCUGAUUAGCUAGUUGGUAGGGUAACGGCCUACCAAGGCGACGAUCAGUAGCCGACCUCGAGAGGGUGAUCGGCCACAUUGGGACUGAGACAC